Long non-coding RNA from Canis lupus familiaris (dog), 913 nucleotides. RefSeq lists it as uncharacterized. NCBI's taxonomy places the organism in Eukaryota, Metazoa, Chordata, Mammalia, Carnivora, Canidae. The transcript has 4 exons. The record is from RefSeq and is a predicted model, not a curated record.
CACUUAACUACAGUGGACUUUUAUGAGAUCCUCCAUGUUUUCUUCCUACCAAGGUCCCUUUCCUUUGUCCCAGGCUUGCUCUUAUAGGCUGGGGUGGUGGAUGUAUGAGAUGGCUGGUUGGUUUUUCCUCCUAAAAUGUUCCCAUCACUCAGGUGUAAAGAAUCAAUAGUUGUCAAACCUUGCAACCUGGGAAGCUGGUAUCAUACGGCAAUAAAAAGGAAAAUAAGGAAACUGAGGCUCAGUGACCAGCUCACCUAACCCAAAACUCAUGGGUUCAUAUUUCCAAAAGUAAGGAGCAGACCUGCACCACGUUGCCCUCACCGUCCUUCUGGCACGAUCCUCUAAUGCUGACCGACAGCCUGAAGCCUGAGACAUAAUCAGGUAUCAUCAGGAAGCAGGUGUGGGCAGUUAUAACAGCCUACUCAGCUGCCUGGCAUCACAACAGAGCCUCAAAGUACAUAAAUUGAUGAGGGCAAGAGUCUCUACAGAAGUGUUCUAAUAAGAAUGUCAAAGUUAUAAUAUCACCAUUUUCGACCCUUAAUGAACUAAUGGAUCAAGGAAUAAUCAUCAAUGUCUACUACCAUAGAAUAUAACAGGCAAAAUCAGACUUUGGGAAGCUCUAUGGCAAUAACUCUUCAAACUGUGACCCACGGACAGGUGCCCAUCCAUCUAUGAACUUUUUGUCACCAGUAUAUGACUAGGCUAUGCAGUUCAUCUGCCAGUUUAAUUGCCACAAAUCUCCAAAAAAUUCACAUAUAUAUAUAUGUAUAUAUAUAUAUAUACAUAUAUAUGAUUUUUUUUUUCAAUUCUGCAAACAGGAAGACCCGCACAGUUCAAACCAGUGUUGUUCAAGAAUCAAAUGGACUCUGCAAAUGAUCUGGCUCCACACAAAUAAAUGGUAUUUUCAUUAUUA